GUGUAUGUAGUCUCUGUACGUUCCCUCCUGUGCCAGUUUGUUACGUCAUAUUUUCUGGUGCUCUCCUCUUGUGGAUUCAUCCUAACACCCGCGGUGUAUACUUUCCUCUUCCUUUUGCAUAUUUUUAACCAGUUUUUUUGUGUGGGGUUUAGGUUUCCCUUGACUCCUUAUCAAAUCAAAGAAGUGGUGUUUCGAUCCAAGGAAAUAAGCAAGCUGCAGUCAAGAGGCUGAUGAGAGAAUGGAAAACGGGGGCCUCAGCUCAGCCUCAGGACUACAACCUCUAGGCCUUGCUGGACAGUCAUGUAGAAGCACAAAGACAGGUGAACAAUGCCACUGUGGAAUUUAGCAGGUAUUUGAGAGAGCCACCCUGGGCAGGGCCUGAGGACCCUCUGUAGUACUGAAUGACAAGAAACACUCUUUAUCACCACCUGUUUAAGUUGGCUUCAAGACGUCUCUGCCACUCUCAUCAUUGGUGCCAUGUGUAGUCAUUUUUUUUUACAAGGCUGGCUAAAUUUUGAGCCAGAAAAGAAGCUGACUUAAACCCAGCUCCAAGGAAAAUUAUAUUUCCAAAAACAAAUCUGUAAAAUAAAUCAAAAGUUUUAGAAAACA
Labrus bergylta (ballan wrasse) is the source of this 609-nucleotide long non-coding RNA. RefSeq lists it as uncharacterized. Lineage: Eukaryota; Metazoa; Chordata; Actinopteri; Labriformes; Labridae. The record is from RefSeq and is a predicted model, not a curated record.